RNAcentral lists this ribosomal RNA (1325 nucleotides) under bacterium DEN D8. RNAcentral describes it as "bacterial SSU rRNA". It matches the Rfam family "Bacterial small subunit ribosomal RNA". The record is from RNAcentral.
CCUAAUACAUGCAAGUCGAGCGAAUGAUAGGGAGCUUGCUCCCUUGAUUUAGCGGCGGACGGGUGAGUAACACGUGGGCAACCUACCUGUAAGACUGGGAUAACUUCGGGAAACCGGAGCUAAUACCGGAUACUUUUUUUUCUCGCAUGAGAAGAGAUGGAAAGACGGUUUCGGCUGUCACUUACAGAUGGGCCCGCGGCGCAUUAGCUAGUUGGUGAGGUAAUGGCUCACCAAGGCCACGAUGCGUAGCCGACCUGAGAGGGUGAUCGGCCACACUGGGACUGAGACACGGCCCAGACUCCUACGGGAGGCAGCAGUAGGGAAUCUUCCGCAAUGGACGAAAGUCUGACGGAACAACGCCGCGUGAACGAAGAAGGCUUUCGGGUCGUAAAGUUCUGUUGUUAGGGAAGAACAAGUACCAGAGUAACUGCUGGUACCUUGACGGUACCUAACCAGAAAGCCACGGCUAACUACGUGCCAGCAGCCGCGGUAAUACGUAGGUGGCAAGCGUUGUCCGGAAUUAUUGGGCGUAAAGCGCGCGCAGGUGGUUCCUUAAGUCUGAUGUGAAAGCCCACGGCUCAACCGUGGAGGGUCAUUGGAAACUGGGAAACUUGAGUGCACAUGAGGAAAGUGAAAUUCCAUGUGUAGCGGUGAAAUGCGUAGAGAUUUGGAGGAACACCAGUGGCGAAUGCGACUUUCUGGUCUGUAACUGACGCUGAGCAUUAAGCACUCCGGCUGGGGAGUUCGGGCGCAAGGAUGUAACUCAAAGGAAUUGACGGGCGCCCGCACGAGGGGUGGAGCAUUUGGUUUAAUUGGAAGCAACGCGAAGAACCUUACCAGGUCUUGACAUCCUUUUGCCCUCCCUAGAGAUAGGGACUUCCCUUGGGGGACAAAAGUGACAGGUGGUGCAUGGUUGUCGUCAGCUCGUGUCGUGAGAUGUUGGGUUAAGUCCCGCAACGAGCGCAACCCUUGAUCUUAGUUGCCAGCAUUUAGUUGGCCACUGUAAGGUGACGGCCGGUGACAAACCGGAGGAAGGGGGGGAUGACGUCAAAUCAUCAUGCCCCUUAUGACCUGGGCUACACACGUGCUACAAUGGAUGGUACAAAGAGCUGCGAACCCGCGAGGGUAAGCGAAUCUCAUAAAGCCAUUCUCAGUUCGGAUUGUAGGCUGCAACUCGCCUACAUGAAGCCGGAAUCGCUAGUAAUCGUGGAUCAGCAUGCCACGGUGAAUACGUUCCCGGGCCUUGUACACACCGCCCGUCACACCACGAGAGUUUGUAACACCCGAAGUCGGUGAGGUAACCGCAAGGAGCCAGCCGCCUAAGG